Long non-coding RNA from Hydra vulgaris (swiftwater hydra), 337 nucleotides. RefSeq lists it as uncharacterized. NCBI's taxonomy places the organism in Eukaryota, Metazoa, Cnidaria, Hydrozoa, Anthoathecata, Hydridae. The record is from RefSeq and is a predicted model, not a curated record.
AUAAAGUGAUUUUAUUAAAAACAAGCGUAAACAAGUUAAUGAAAAAAAUUUUAAAUAAUUAUUUUAAAUGUGAAAACGAAAAUAUUUAUUUAAACAUGGACUUACACUUAUUGAUUACAAUCAACUAAUACAUCAACAUCUAGUAGCCAACCAUUCCUGCUAAUACCACACCAUGCUAGAUCCAACACCAAGGCAAAUUUACUCAAAGCUUCGUGUCAUUACCAAAUGAUCCUGAAGAAAUAAAUUUACAUUCAGUAAGCUUUUUGUAAAUUUAUUUCAGUAAUUAUAAGUUUGCUGUUAAGUAGAAUAAUUAUAAUUAAUGAUCAUUAAAGUAAAA